Molecule: ribosomal RNA, 420 nt
Filed under: uncultured bacterium
Lineage: Bacteria
Description: bacterial SSU rRNA
Rfam family: Bacterial small subunit ribosomal RNA
Source: RNAcentral
GAGGAAUAUUGGUCAAUGGGCGAGAGCCUGAACCAGCCAAGUCGCGUGAAGGAAGAAGGUAUUAUGUAUUGUAAACUUCUUUUAUACGGGAAUAAAGAGGGUGUUGCGACAUCCGUUGCAUGUACCGUAUGAAUAAGCAUCGGCUAACUCCGUGCCAGCAGCCGCGGUAAUACGGAGGAUGCGAGCGUUAUCCGGAUUUAUUGGGUUUAAAGGGUGCGUAGGCGGUUUGUUAAGUCAGUGGUGAAAGUUUGCGGCUCAACCGUAAAAUUGCCAUUGAAACUGGCAGACUUGAGUACAGUAGAGGUAGGCGGAAUUCGUGGUGUAGCGGUGAAAUGCAUAGAUAUCACGAAGAACUCCAAUUGCGAAGGCAGCUUACUGGAGUGUAACUGACGCUGAGGCACGAAAGUGUGGGGAUCAAAC